GAUGAACGCUGGCGGCGUGCCUAAUACAUGCAAGUCGAGCGAACAGACGAGGAGCUUGCUCCUCUGACGUUAGCGGCGGACGGGUGAGUAACACGUGGAUAACCUACCUAUAAGACUGGGAUAACUUCGGGAAACCGGAGCUAAUACCGGAUAAUAUAUUGAACCGCAUGGUUCAAUAGUGAAAGACGGUUUUGCUGUCUCUUAUAGAUGGAUCCGCGCCGCAUUAGCUAGUUGGUAAGGUAACGGCUUACCAAGGCAACGAUGCGUAGCCGACCUGAGAGGGUGAUCGGCCACACUGGAACUGAGACACGGUCCAGACUCCUACGGGAGGCAGCAGUAGGGAAUCUUCCGCAAAGGGCGAAAGCUUGACGGAGCAACGCCGCGUGAGUGAUGAAGGUCUUCGGAUCGUAAAACUCUGUUAUUAGGGAAGAACAAAUGUGUAAGUAACUAUGCACGUCUUGACGGUACCUAAUCAGAAAGCCACGGCUAACUACGUG
RNAcentral lists this ribosomal RNA (497 nucleotides) under uncultured bacterium. Its description in RNAcentral is "partial 16S ribosomal RNA". It matches the Rfam family "Bacterial small subunit ribosomal RNA", at positions 28 to 507 of the family's 1533-position model. The record is from RNAcentral.